RNAcentral lists this ribosomal RNA (655 nucleotides) under uncultured bacterium. Its description in RNAcentral is "bacterial SSU rRNA". It matches the Rfam family "Bacterial small subunit ribosomal RNA", at positions 10 to 645 of the family's 1533-position model. The record is from RNAcentral.
AGUUUGAUCAUGGCUCAGAACGAACGCUGGCGGCGUGGAUAAGACAUGCAAGUCGAACGGGACAACAUCUGUAGCAAUACAGGUGUUGUUUAGUGGCGAACGGGUGCGUAACACGUGGGCAAUCUGCCGAGAAGUGGGGGAUAGCUCGCCGAAAGGCGAAUUAAUACCGCAUGUGAUCAGAGAGGACAUCCUCUCGAACUCAAAGCCGGGGCAACCUGGCGCUUUUUGAUGAGCCCGCGGCCUAUCAGCUAGUUGGUGAGGUAACGGCUCACCAAGGCAUUGACGGGUAGCUGGUCUGAGAGGACGACCAGCCACACUGGAACUGAGACACGGUCCAGACACCUACGGGUGGCAGCAGUCGAGAAUUUUUCACAAUGGGGGCAACCCUGAUGGAGCGACGCCGCGUGGAGGAUGAAUGCUUUCGGGUUGUAAACUCCUGUCAUUUGGGAACAAGGUGCAUCGAUUAACUGUCGAUGCGUUGAUAGUACCAGAAGAGGAAGAGACGGCUAACUCUGUGCCAGCAGCCGCGGUAAUACAGAGGUCUCAAGCGUUGUUCGGAUUCAUUGGGCGUAAAGGGUGCGUAGGUGGCGCCGUAAGUCAGGUGUGAAAUUUCGGAGCUCAACUCCGAAACUGCAUUUGAUACUGCGGUGCUUGA